CGGCGUGCUUAACACAUGCAAGUCGAACGGAAAGGCCCUGCUUUUGUGGGGUGCUCGAGUGGCGAACGGGUGAGUAACACGUGAGUAACCUGCCCUUGACUUUGGGAUAACUUCAGGAAACUGGGGCUAAUACCGGAUAGGAGCUCCUGCUGCAUGGUGGGGGUUGGAAAGUUUCGGCGGUUGGGGAUGGACUCGCGGCUUAUCAGCUUGUUGGUGGGGUAGUGGCUUACCAAGGCUUUGACGGGUAGCCGGCCUGAGAGGGUGACCGGCCACAUUGGGACUGAGAUACGGCCCAGACUCCUACGGGAGGCAGCAGUGGGGAAUAUUGCACAAUGGGCGGAAGCCUGAUGCAGCAACGCCGCGUGCGGGAUGACGGCCUUCGGGUUGUAAACCGCUUUCGCCUGUGACGAAGCGUGAGUGACGGUAAUGGGUAAAGAAGCACCGGCUAACUACGUGCCAGCAGCCGCGGUGAUACGUAGGGUGCGAGCGUUGUCCGGAUUUAUUGGGCGUAAAGGGCUCGUAGGUGGUUGAUCGCGUCGGAAGUGUAAUCUUGGGGCUUAACCCUGAGCGUGCUUUCGAUACGGGUUGACUUGAGGAAGGUAGGGGAGAAUGGAAUUCCUGGUGGAGCGGUGGAAUGCGCAGAUAACAGGAGGAACACCAGUGGCGAAGGCGGUUCUCUGGGCCUUUCCUGACGCUGAGGAGCGAAAGCGUGGGGAGCGAACAGGCUUAGAUACCCUGGUAGUCCACGCUGUAAACGGUGGGUACUAGGUGUGGGGUCCAUUCCACGGGUUCCGUGCCGUAGCUAACGCUUUAAGUACCCCGCCUGGGGAGUACGGCCGCAAGGCUAAAACUCAAAGGAAUUGACGGGGCCCCGCACAAGCGGCGGAGCAUGCGGAUUAAUUCGAUGCAACGCGUAGAACCUUACCUGGGUUUGACAUGGAUCGGGAGUGCUCAGAGAUGGGUGUGCCUCUUUUGGGGUCGGUUCACAGGUGGUGCAUGGCUGUCGUCAGCUCGUGUCGUGAGAUGUUGGGUUAAGUCCCGCAACGAGCGCAACCCUUGUUCACUGUUGCCAGCACGUUAUGGUGGGGACUCAGUGGAGACCGCCGGGGUCAACUCGGAGGAAGGUGGGGAUGACGUCAAGUCAUCAUGCCCCUUAUGUCCAGGGCUUCACGCAUGCUACAAUGGCUGGUACAGAGAGUGGCGAGCCUGUGAGGGUGAGCGAAUCUCGGAAAGCCGGUCUCAGUUCGGAUUGGGGUCUGCAACUCGACCUCAUGAAGUCGGAGUCGCUAGUAAUCGCAGAUCAGCAACGCUGCGGUGAAUACGUUCCCGGGGCUUGUACACACCGCCCGUCAAGUCAUGAAAGUUGGUAACACCCGAAGCCGGUGGCCUAACCGUUGUGGGGGAGCCGUCGAAGGUGGGACUGGUGAU
This 1428-nucleotide ribosomal RNA is filed under the name uncultured organism. RNAcentral's name for it is "16S ribosomal RNA". It matches the Rfam family "Bacterial small subunit ribosomal RNA". The record is from RNAcentral.